CAUGUUUGUUUGAAUGUUGGUGAUUUGGCUUCAGUGGAUCAGUGAUAUUUUCCUUAUGCAUGUGAUUUUAGAUUGUGGAUUUGUGGAUCUGGUUUUAUAGAUAUUCAGUUCAUGCAUUUAUGUCCUUAUGCAUUGCGGUUUUCUACCCCUCGAGGUAGUCGGUUUUCAAAAUAGAGUUUCCGAGUGGAAAAUAGUUUUUAAAAGAUUUACGAAUGGUUUUCAUGGAUGACUGAAAUAGAUUUCAAAAAUAAAGCUUCCGCGUGAGGAGCACUUUUAGAUGUCCUUAUGCAUUGCAUCAUCCAGCGCCUAAGGAGUGCUUAGAGGCAUGCAUCAUCUUAAGGAUUGAUAGCUGUAUGAAAAUGCAUAUCAUGAAUUGGUUGUUGAUUGAUAAAUGU
This 395-nucleotide long non-coding RNA is filed under the name Ananas comosus (pineapple). RNAcentral's name for it is "long non-coding RNA (ACOM_LNC041332)". The record is from RNAcentral. Lineage: Eukaryota; Viridiplantae; Streptophyta; Magnoliopsida; Poales; Bromeliaceae.